AGUUCUGGCGGGAGAGCUAUGUAGGGCAGGAUUCGUGACUGUCGAACUGUAGACAGAAACUUCUCUGCAGGCUAGCUAGGAUGUCGGUCAGCAGGGAAACAAAAGGACUUCCGGAAGGAGAAGAAAAACAGAAGAAUGUCAACAGCGAGCUUGAAACGAAUCUGAGUGAACAGAAAUAACUGACCACUUAAGCCUUGACGUACGUAAAGUAAUAAACAUUUGAUAAAUGUAUUCUCGUCUCUACUAGUUUCUUUGCGUAUAGCUUAACGAAGCUAUACCAUCACAUUCUUUUCCCCAAUAUAGUAUAUUUAGGACAUUGUCCAUGCUUUUUUUUUUUCCAAACCAGCAGGAUAUAGUUCGAAGGACAUUUAGCUGAUAUUUCUGGCAUGUCUCCCUUUCUGACUCAUUUCAACAGUGUAUAUUAAACUAAUAGCUCAUUCAAUGUGCAUUAUCUAUUUUAGACUACGCUGCUAAGUCCAAAGUUACACUGCCCGCCACCAUCACCACCAUCACACAUGCUUACGUAGACUUUGCGCGCACCUGCACACAAACACGCUCUCAGGAAAUGUAAGCGGUAAAAUAAUCUCCAUGUACACUUAGAAAUAUUCUUCUGCUCGUGUAUGCCCUGACCUUUUUCAAAUACUACCUUCAAUUACGAGCAUGGACCGACUUGCUGUCCAGUAUAAACUCCGUGGAGCUUUACUAAAAACUAACGAUAAUAAUAAUACUCAGCCGCCACAAUCGAAAAUGAACGAUUCUGAAGCAGAAUCGCAACAGAGAACUGUCGGAGAAAAUACAGAUACUUCAAAACCAGG
This 815-nucleotide long non-coding RNA is filed under the name Octopus vulgaris (common octopus). Lineage: Eukaryota; Metazoa; Mollusca; Cephalopoda; Octopoda; Octopodidae. The record is from RNAcentral.